UACGGGGGGGGCAAGCGUUGUUCGGAAUUACUGGGCGUAAAGCGCGCGCAGGCGGUCCCUUAAGUCUGAUGUGAAAGCCCACGGCUCAACCGUGGAGGGUCAUUGGAAACUGGGGGACUUGAGUACAGAAGAGAAGAGUGGAAUUCCACGUGUAGCGGUGAAAUGCGUAGAGAUGUGGAGGAACACCAGUGGCGAAGGCGACACUUUGGUCUGUAACUGACGCUGAGGCGCGAAAGCGUGGGGAGCAAACAGG
RNAcentral lists this ribosomal RNA (253 nucleotides) under uncultured bacterium. RNAcentral's name for it is "partial 16S ribosomal RNA". It matches the Rfam family "Bacterial small subunit ribosomal RNA", at positions 524 to 776 of the family's 1533-position model. The record is from RNAcentral.